Molecule: ribosomal RNA, 253 nt
Filed under: uncultured bacterium
Lineage: Bacteria
Description: partial 16S ribosomal RNA
Rfam family: Bacterial small subunit ribosomal RNA
Source: RNAcentral
UACGUAGGGUGCGAGCGUUAAUCGGAAUUACUGGGCGUAAAGCGUGCGCAGGCGGUUUUGUAAGCCAGAUGUGAAAUCCCCGGGCUUAACCUGGGAAUGGCAUUUGGGACUGCAAGGCUGGAGUGCGGCAGAGGAGACUGGAAUUCCUGGUGUAGCAGUGAAAUGCGUAGAUAUCAGGAGGAACACCGAUGGCGAAGGCAGGUCUCUGGGCUGACACUGACGCUCUUGCACGAAAGCGUGGGGAGCAAACAGG